GCUGUGAUGGCUGAGUGGUUAAGGCAUUGGACUUGAUGUCCAAUGGGGUUUCCCCGUGCAGGUUUGAGCCCUGCUCACAGCU
This is a non-coding RNA of Carcharodon carcharias (great white shark), 82 nucleotides long. Lineage: Eukaryota; Metazoa; Chordata; Chondrichthyes; Lamniformes; Lamnidae. The record is from the annotation of a RefSeq genome assembly.